This 447-nucleotide ribosomal RNA is filed under the name uncultured bacterium. RNAcentral describes it as "partial 16S ribosomal RNA". It matches the Rfam family "Bacterial small subunit ribosomal RNA", at positions 29 to 523 of the family's 1533-position model. The record is from RNAcentral.
AGCGAACGCUGGCGGCAGGCUUAACACAUGCAAGUCGAACGGUCCUUCGGGAUAGUGGCGGACGGGUGAGUAACACGUGGGAACGUACCCUUAGGUUCGGAACAACACAGGGAAACUUGUGCUAAUACCGGAUAAGCCCUUCGGGGGAAAGAUUUAUCGCCUUUGGAGCGGCCCGCGUCUGAUUAGCUUGUUGGUGAGGUAAUGGCUCACCAAGGCUACGAUCAGUAGCUGGUCUGAGAGAAUGGCCAGCCACACUGGGACUGAGACACGGCCCAGACUCCUACGGGAGGCAGCAGUGGGGAAUCUUGCGCAAUGGGCGAAAGCCUGACGCAGCCAUGCCGCGUGGAUGAUGAAGGUCUUAGGAUUGUAAAAUCCUUUCACCGGGGACGAUAAUGACGGUACCCGGGGAAGAAGCCCCGGCUAACUUCGUGCCAGCCGCCGCGGUAA